RNAcentral lists this ribosomal RNA (433 nucleotides) under uncultured bacterium. RNAcentral's name for it is "bacterial SSU rRNA". It matches the Rfam family "Bacterial small subunit ribosomal RNA", at positions 791 to 1219 of the family's 1533-position model. The record is from RNAcentral.
UAGUCCACGCCGUAAACGAUGUCAACUAGCUGUCUGUGUUCUUGAAACGUGGGUAGCGUAGCUAACGCGCUAAGUUGACCGCCUGGGGAGUACGGCCGCAAGGUUAAAACUCAAAUGAAUUGACGGGGGCCCGCACAAGCGGUGGAGCAUGUGGUUUAAUUCGAUGCAACGCGAAGAACCUUACCAUCCCUUGACAUCCAGAGAAGAGACUAGAGAUAGACUUGUGCCUUCGGGAACUCUGAGACAGGUGCUGCAUGGCUGUCGUCAGCUCGUGUUGUGAAAUGUUGGGUUAAGUCCCGCAACGAGCGCAACCCCUAUCCUUAUUUGCCAGCGCGUAGCGGCGGGAACUUUAAGGAGACUGCCGGGUGAUAAACCGGAGGAAGGUGGGGACGACGGUCAAGUCAUCAUGGCCCUUACGGGGAUGGGGCUACAC